UAGGGAAUAUUGGACAAUGGGUGCAAGCCUGAUCCAGCCAUGCCGCGUGCAGGAAGAAGGCUUUCUGAGUUGUAAACUGCUUUUGCCAGGGGAUAAAAUACGCAUGCGUGCGGAAUUGAAGGUACCUGGUGAAUAAGCCACGGCUAACUACGUGCCAGCAGCCGCGGUAAUACGUAGGUGGCAAGCGUUGUCCGGAUUUAUUGGGUUUAAAGGGUGCGUAGGCGGUUCUCUAAGUCAGUGGUGAAAUACGGCAGCUCAACUGUCGAGGUGCCAUUGAUACUGGAGGACUUGAGUACUGAUGAGGUAGGCGGAAUGGACGGUGUAGCGGUGAAAUGCUUAGAUAUCGUCCAGAACACCGAUAGCGAAGGCAGCUUACUAAGGAGUAACUGACGCUGAGGCACGAAAGUGUGGGGAUCAAACAG
RNAcentral lists this ribosomal RNA (422 nucleotides) under uncultured bacterium. RNAcentral's name for it is "bacterial SSU rRNA". It matches the Rfam family "Bacterial small subunit ribosomal RNA", at positions 355 to 775 of the family's 1533-position model. The record is from RNAcentral.